This 305-nucleotide ribosomal RNA is filed under the name uncultured bacterium. Its description in RNAcentral is "bacterial SSU rRNA". It matches the Rfam family "Bacterial small subunit ribosomal RNA", at positions 333 to 653 of the family's 1533-position model. The record is from RNAcentral.
CGGUUCCUACGGGGCGCAGCAGUGGGGAAUAUUGGGCAAUGGGCGCAAGCCUGACCCAGCAACGCCGCGUGAAGGAAGAAGGCUUUCGGGUUGUAAACUUCUUUUAAGAGGGAAGAGUAGAAGACGGUACCUCUUGAAGAAGCCCCGGCUAACUACGUGCCAGCAGCCGCGGUAAUACGUAGGGGGCAAGCGUUAUCCGGAUUUACUGGGUGUAAAGGGAGCGUAGACGGAUGGAUACGUCUGAAGUGAAAGCCCGCGGCUCAACUGCGGGACUGCUUUGGAAACUGUGCAUCUUGAGUACGGGG